CAGAGAAUAGUUUAAUUAAAAUAUUAAUUUUGGGUAUUAAUGAUAAUGAAUAAUUCUUUUUCUCUGA
This 67-nucleotide transfer RNA is filed under the name Parcoblatta fulvescens. RNAcentral's name for it is "tRNA-Pro". Lineage: Eukaryota; Metazoa; Arthropoda; Insecta; Blattodea; Blattellidae. The record is from RNAcentral.